Molecule: ribosomal RNA, 1175 nt
Filed under: Escherichia coli
Lineage: Bacteria; Pseudomonadati; Pseudomonadota; Gammaproteobacteria; Enterobacterales; Enterobacteriaceae
Description: partial 23S ribosomal RNA
Rfam family: Bacterial large subunit ribosomal RNA
Source: RNAcentral
GGCGUGUGACUGCGUACCUUUUGUAUAAUGGGUCAGCGACUUAUAUUCUGUAGCAAGGUUAACCGAAUAGGGGAGCCGAAGGGAAACCGAGUCUUAACUGGGCGUUAAGUUGCAGGGUAUAGACCCGAAACCCGGUGAUCUAGCCAUGGGCAGGUUGAAGGUUGGGUAACACUAACUGGAGGACCGAACCGACUAAUGUUGAAAAAUUAGCGGAUGACUUGUGGCUGGGGGUGAAAGGCCAAUCAAACCGGGAGAUAGCUGGUUCUCCCCGAAAGCUAUUUAGGUAGCGCCUCGUGAAUUCAUCUCCGGGGGUAGAGCACUGUUUCGGCAAGGGGGUCAUCCCGACUUACCAACCCGAUGCAAACUGCGAAUACCGGAGAAUGUUAUCACGGGAGACACACGGCGGGUGCUAACGUCCGUCGUGAAGAGGGAAACAACCCAGACCGCCAGCUAAGGUCCCAAAGUCAUGGUUAAGUGGGAAACGAUGUGGGAAGGCCCAGACAGCCAGGAUGUUGGCUUAGAAGCAGCCAUCAUUUAAAGAAAGCGUAAUAGCUCACUGGUCGAGUCGGCCUGCGCGGAAGAUGUAACGGGGCUAAACCAUGCACCGAAGCUGCGGCAGCGACGCUGAUGCGUUGUUGGGUAGGGGAGCGUUCUGUAAGCCUGCGAAGGUGUGCUGUGAGGCAUGCUGGAGGUAUCAGAAGUGCGAAUGCUGACAUAAGUAACGAUAAAGCGGGUGAAAAGCCCGCUCGCCGGAAGACCAAGGGUUCCUGUCCAACGUUAAUCGGGGCAGGGUGAGUCGACCCCUAAGGCGAGGCCGAAAGGCGUAGUCGAUGGGAAACAGGUUAAUAUUCCUGUACUUGGUGUUACUGCGAAGGGGGGACGGAGAAGGCUAUGUUGGCCGGGCGACGGUUGUCCCGGUUUAAGCGUGUAGGCUGGUUUUCCAGGCAAAUCCGGAAAAUCAAGGCUGAGGCGUGAUGACGAGGCACUACGGUGCUGAAGCAACAAAUGCCCUGCUUCCAGGAAAAGCCUCUAAGCAUCAGGUAACAUCAAAUCGUACCCCAAACCGACACAGGUGGUCAGGUAGAGAAUACCAAGGCGCUUGAGAGAACUCGGGUGAAGGAACUAGGCAAAAUGGUGCCGUAACUUCGGGAGAAGGCACGCUGAUAUGUAGGUGA